AUACGUAGGGGGCGAGCGUUAUCCGGAUUCAUUGGGUUUAAAGGGUGCGCAGGCGGCCGUGCAAGUCAGCGGUGAAAGCCCGGGGCUCAACCCCGGAAGUGCCGUUGAUACUGCAUGGCUGGAAUGCGGUCGAGGCGGGCGGAACGGGGCGUGGAGCGGUGGAAUGCGUAUAUAUGCCACAGAACACCGAUAGCGGAGGCCGCUCGCCCGGCCUGCAUUGACGCUCGGGCACGAAAGCGUGGGGAUCGAACAGGAUUAGAUACCCUGGUAGUCCACGCCGUAAACGAUGGGCGCUCGUCGUCGGCGGCAGACAGUCGGCGGCCAAGCGAAAGCGAUAAGCGCCCCACCUGGGGAGUACGGUCGCAAGGCUGAAACUCAAAGGAAUUGGCGGGG
RNAcentral lists this ribosomal RNA (393 nucleotides) under uncultured bacterium. RNAcentral's name for it is "partial 16S ribosomal RNA". It matches the Rfam family "Bacterial small subunit ribosomal RNA", at positions 523 to 918 of the family's 1533-position model. The record is from RNAcentral.